Molecule: small RNA, 107 nt
Filed under: Marmota monax (woodchuck)
Lineage: Eukaryota; Metazoa; Chordata; Mammalia; Rodentia; Sciuridae
Source: RNAcentral
GCCGGGUACUGUGAUGCAUACCUGUAAUCCCAGCAACUUGGGAGGCCGAGCCAGGAGGAUCAAAGGUUCAGGGGCAGCCUCAGCGACUUACUGAGACUCUAUCUCAA